GCCUCCGUGGCGCAAUCGGCUAGCGCGUUCGGCUGUUAACCGAAAGGUUGGUGGUUCGAGCCCACCAGGGGGCG
Molecule: transfer RNA, 74 nt
Filed under: Schistocerca gregaria
Lineage: Eukaryota; Metazoa; Arthropoda; Insecta; Orthoptera; Acrididae
Also listed under: 1 other name
Description: transfer RNA asparagine (anticodon GUU)
Rfam family: tRNA
About the family: Transfer RNA (tRNA) molecules are approximately 80 nucleotides in length. Their secondary structure includes four short double-helical elements and three loops (D, anti-codon, and T loops). Further hydrogen bonds mediate the characteristic L-shaped molecular structure. tRNAs have two regions of fundamental functional importance: the anti-codon, which is responsible for specific mRNA codon recognition, and the 3' end, to which the tRNAs corresponding amino acid is attached (by aminoacyl-tRNA synthetases). tRNAs cope with the degeneracy of the genetic code in two manners: having more than one tRNA (with a specific anti-codon) for a particular amino acid; and 'wobble' base-pairing, i.e. permitting non-standard base-pairing at the 3rd anti-codon position.
Source: RNAcentral